RNAcentral lists this ribosomal RNA (1427 nucleotides) under 'Citrus sinensis' X-disease phytoplasma. Its description in RNAcentral is "bacterial SSU rRNA". It matches the Rfam family "Bacterial small subunit ribosomal RNA". The record is from RNAcentral. Lineage: Bacteria; Bacillati; Mycoplasmatota; Mollicutes; Acholeplasmatales; Acholeplasmataceae.
CAUGCAAGUCGAACGGAAACCUUCGGGUUUUAGUGGCGAACGGGUGAGUAACACGUAAGCAACCUACCCUUAAGACGAGGAUAACAAUUGGAAACGGUUGCUAAGACUGGAUAGGAAAAGUAAAGGCAUCUUUACUUUUUUAAAAGACCUUCUUUGAAGGUAUGCUUAAGGAGGGGCUUGCGACACAUUAGUUAGUUGGCAGGGUAAAGGCCUACCAAGACUAUGAUGUGUAGCUGGACUGAGAGGUUGAACAGCCACAUUGGGACUGAGACACGGCCCAAACUCCUACGGGAGGCAGCAGUAGGGAAUUUUCGGCAAUGGAGGAAACUCUGACCGAGCAACGCCGCGUGAACGAUGAAGUACCUCGGUAUGUAAAGUUCUUUUAUUAAGGAAGAAAAAAGAGUGGAAAAACUCCCUUGACGGUACUUAAUGAAUAAGCCCCGGCUAAUUAUGUGCCAGCAGCCGCGGUAAUACAUAAGGGGCGAGCGUUAUCCGGAAUUAUUGGGCGUAAAGGGUGCGUAGGCGGUUUAAUAAGUCUAUAGUUUAAUUUCAGUGCUUAACGCUGUUGUGCUAUAGAAACUGUUUUACUAGAGUGAGUUAGAGGCAAGCGGAAUUCCAUGUGUAGCGGUAAAAUGCGUAAAUAUAUGGAGGAACACCAGAGGCGUAGGCGGCUUGCUGGGACUUUACUGACGCUGAGGCACGAAAGCGUGGGGAGCAAACAGGAUUAGAUACCCUGGUAGUCCACGCCGUAAACGAUGAGUACUAAGUGUCGGGUAAAACCGGUACUGAAGUUAACACAUUAAGUACUCCGCCUGAGUAGUACGUACGCAAGUAUGAAACUUAAAGGAAUUGACGGGACUCCGCACAAGCGGUGGAUCAUGUUGUUUAAUUCGAAGAUACACGAAAAACCUUACCAGGUCUUGACAUUUUCUUGCGAAGUUAUAGAAAUAUAAUGGAGGUUAUCAGGAAAACAGGUGGUGCAUGGUUGUCGUCAGCUCGUGUCGUGAGAUGUUAGGUUAAGUCCUAAAACGAGCGCAACCCUUGUCGUUAAUUGCCAGCAUGUAAUGAUGGGGACUUUAACGAGACUGCCAAUGAAAAAUUGGAGGAAGGUGGGGAUUACGUCAAAUCAUCAUGCCCCUUAUGAUCUGGGCUACAAACGUGAUACAAUGGUUGAUACAAAGAGUAGCUGAAACGCGAGUUCUUAGCCAAUCUCACAAAAUCAAUUUCAGUUCGGAUUGAAGUCUGCAACUCGACUUCAUGAAGUUGGAAUCGCUAGUAAUCGCGAAUCAGCAUGUCGCGGUGAAUACGUUCUCGGGGUUUGUACACACCGCCCGUCAAACCACGAAAGUUGGCAAUACCCCAAAGCGGUCACCUAACUUCGCAAGAAGAAGGAUCCGUCUAAGGUAGGGUCGAUGAUUGGGGUUAAG